RNAcentral lists this ribosomal RNA (484 nucleotides) under uncultured bacterium. RNAcentral describes it as "partial 16S ribosomal RNA". It matches the Rfam family "Bacterial small subunit ribosomal RNA", at positions 30 to 507 of the family's 1533-position model. The record is from RNAcentral.
AUUGAACGCUGGCGGCAGGCCUAACACAUGCAAGUCGAGCGGAUGAAGGGAGCUUGCUCCUGGAUUCAGCGGCGGACGGGUGAGUAAUGCCUAGGAAUCUGCCUGGUAGUGGGGGAUAACGUCCGGAAACGGGCGCUAAUACCGCAUACGUCCUGAGGUAGAAAGUGGGGGAUCUUCGGACCUCACGCUAUCAGAUGAGCCUAGGUCGGAUUAGCUAGUUGGUGGGGUAAAGGCCUACCAAGGCGACGAUCCGUAACUGGUCUGAGAGGAUGAUCAGUCACACUGGAGGUGAGACACGGUACAGACUCCGACGGGAGGCAGCAGUGGGGAAUAUUGGAAGAUGGGCGAAAGCCUGAUCCAGCGAUGCCGGGUGUGUGAAGAAGGUCUUCGGAUUGUAAAGCACUUUAAGUUGGGAGGAAGGGCAGUAAGUUAAUACCUUGCUGUUUUGACGUUACCAACAGAAUAAGCACCGGCUAACUUCGUG